GUGGCCGACCCUGAAGGCAUAGCACCCCCAGCCCAGUGACUGACCUGUGUGGUAGACAUUGGAGGUCACAUGGUUUAAGAACCUGGCACAUAAAUCCUUCCUGGAAAAAUAAUCACAUUGUAUUUCUUGGUGUUUCAUCUCCUGACAGGGGUUUUUCUUUCUCUGGUGUUUGAGAUGAAAACAAGCUGUGACCUGAAACUAUAGACACUUCUCAAGGAUGAUGGUAUGUUGAUAGAAUGUAGUUAAAAUGCUCAUUAGGGAUCAUCUACUAUUGUAAAGAACAGGGUAGAGGAAGAGUAGGGUAGGCAGAGUCUCUUAAUCCUUGGAUUUAUUCAACAGGAUUUUACCAAAACAGGAUGAACCUCUGAAAAAAGACAAGCAUUUACAAUAACAUUGUAAAUAAAACCUAAUGAAAGACAUCUGAAGUCUACAGACAAAUGAACAGCCUUAAGAAGCCUGAAUCUUACAGGCAAUGACCUUUGCCAAUAGCUUUAAUACCAAUAGAGUUGCUGAUAUUGAUUAUCCAAUCUGUGGCAGGUAGGAGUCCAGGAGUGCAAAGGCACUUGGGACAGUGGGUUUGGGAAUAUUAGCUGGGUGAGAGGAAGCAGUGGUCCUGAAACUUAAUGUUCCUAUGAUUUAACUGGGGCUGAGUAGGUCUGAGAUGGGGCCUUAGAUUUUGCUUUUUUAACAAGCAAUGUCUAUGCAGGUGAGUAUUAAGAAUAAACUUAAACAGUUUUUCCUCUGCUCUCACACUAACACAACAACAGUUAUCAACACAGACAGGAGAAUUCUGUUAUCCCCAAAUAUGAGGGGGUUUCUCCCCAUCAGCAAGCAGCCCAUCAGUUCUGCAGUGGACACCAGCUGGUUGCCCUCCGAUUCAAUUCUGACAUCGUCUACUGGAAGAUAGUGUCAGAUCCCACAGGUCUGACUCUACAGAGACCACAGAUUCUUUGAGUUGCAAGGAAUGAAGAGGUCACUCAACCUAGUUCAAGCGAUGAGGUUUAUGGUGAAGAAAUUGCAAAGCAGUGAGAGUGAUGGAAACUUCUGGAAAACAGGAUUGUGGAGUAGCCAGGCCUGGAAGAGACUGGAACCAGGUAUCAUCCUGAGUCCAGGGCAGCUCAAGGCACCUCAGGGGCAGAGCAUUUUCCCCACUGAAGACAGGACCCUUGCUAGUUUCUAAUUCAGGCCUCAAGAGCAAGAAGCUGACCCGCCCCUCCUGGCAGGCAAAGCACAUCACCCAGGCGCCCCAGGGCCCUGCCAGCCUGCAACCAAGCUUCUUAGUCAGGCUAGGUGUGCCCCAGCUUUCUAAACACCUGGGGCCAGGAAGGGGCAGGAUGGGCCUCAUGGUACAACCUCGCUGCCAGGACAGCAGGUGCUGCCUCCUGGGAAGGGCCUUUUAAAGAUAUGGUGGGUGUGGUAUUUGCCUCCUCUGUGAAAUCCACGGCUGGCUGAGCUCCAAGCUUUGUAGUCCUUGGAGAGUUAAUCUUGGUGGCUCUCUCUUAUGCAAAAAAAAACUUCAGAGAAGUAUUGGGAGACUUCCUAUUUGGAAAUUUCUAGUCUGUACUGCUAAAGGGAGUAGGGGUAGGGGAGUCAUUUUUCAGUUUUUUUUCUUUUUCUUUUUUUUUUUUUUUUAGGCAGGGUCUUGCCUUGUUGCCCAGGCUGGAGUGCAGUGAUGCAAUCACGGCUCACUGCAGCUCGACCUCGCAGGCUCAAGCGAUCCUCCUGAAUAGCUGGGACCACAGGUGUGCAUCACCACACCUGGCUAAUUAUUUUGUAGUUUUUGUAGAGAUGGGGUCUCACCUUAUUGCCCAGGCUGAUCUCAAACUCCUGGGCUCAAGUGAUGCUCCCUCCUUUGCCUCCCAAAGUGCUGGGAUUACCCAUGAGCCACAGCACCUGGCCCAUUUUUCAGUUUUUAAAGGUCUGGUGGUUUUCCGAAACCUUCACUUGGGAUUUGGCAUGUUAAUUACGACUAAACCCCUGAUCCUUCCCCACACCUCCUGGGGGAUGAUUAGGUCAGGGCCAGGCCAUCCCCGCUCCUCCUGGAGGCUGCAGGAGGCACUCCACACAUCUCCCCACGGGCAGCAUCUGCUCACUCCCUCUGCUCAUGUUUAUUGAGCACUCGAUGUGCUAGGUACAGUUCUCAGACCUGGGGGUACAAUACUGAACCCAAAAGACAACCGUCUCUGUCCUCAUAGAGCUUAUGUUCUAAUGAGGAGAGACAAUUCAUAAAUAUAACAAAUGUGUGAAUUAUAGCUUCCGUUAGAAGGUGAUAAGUGCUUCAGGAAAAGAAAAUAUGUCAGAGUAAGUGGGGUAGGAAGUGCGGGUGAGGAGAGGAGGUAGACAGAUGAAAUGUUUGAUAGCACAGGGAGGGUAAGUCAUUGAGAAGCUGUUAUUUGAGCCAAGCCUCGAUGGAGGUGCGGGAAGCUUUGAGAAUUUUGUAAUAUCCCCCAGCACAAGACACUAGAGGCACCUUGGAGUCUUGUGAAAGCAACACUGAAAACUCUGGGAAUAAACAGCAGAGAAGUAAGGGUGUGACAAGUCAGGAAUAUUCCAUGGCUAUGCACCAAGAAUGGCCCUGCACAAAUAUUUAGGAGGAGUGGCAGUGAGAGGAUUUGAGGGUCAAAAGUGUUAAAGUAGAAAUAUGAGAAAUUACAACAAAGUCCAGGUUCACUUCAGUGUAUUAUUAUUUUCAUUUUUUUGUAAAAUAUUUUGAAAAAUUUCAAAAUAAAGUUGCUAAAAGACUUUGUCGUGAUAAUGACGUUGCAGUUAUGUAGGAGAAUGGCCUUAUUCUUUUUUGUUUUGUUUUGUUUUUGAGACUGAGUCUUGCUGCGUCACCCAGGCUGGAGUGCGGUGGCACAGUCAUGGCUCACUGAAGCCUUGACCUCCCAGACUCAAGUGAACCUCCCGCCUUAGCUUCCUGAGUAGCUGGGUGUACAGGCAAGUGCCAUCAUACCCAGCUAAUUUUAAGAUUUUUUGUAGAGAUGGGGUCUCGCCUUGUUGUCCAGGCUCCUUGAACUCCUGGACACAAGUGAACCUCCCGCCUCAGCCUCCUAAAGUGUUGGGAUUAUAGGCGUGAGCCACCAUGCCCGGCCACUUUAUUCUUCAGGGAUGAAAUAUUUAGGGAUAAUAUGUCAUGAUGUCUGCAACUCUUUUUUGUUUGUUUUGUUUUGAGACUGAGUCUCACUCUGUUGCCCAGGCUGGAGUGCAGUGGCGUAAUCUCGGCUCACUGCAAGCUCCGCCUCCUGGGUUCAU
RNAcentral lists this long non-coding RNA (3252 nucleotides) under Homo sapiens (human). Its description in RNAcentral is "HSALNT0141148". Lineage: Eukaryota; Metazoa; Chordata; Mammalia; Primates; Hominidae. The record is from RNAcentral.